CCUGCUGACCUCCUUUUUAUCUUAUUAUUUUCCUGUCGUUAUUUUGUAAUGGGAAUGUCUUCUUUAGAAACUAAAUGGUUAGCAAUGGGUAAAAACACAACCUAAGUAAAGGCGCGGUUUCAGACGAAGUGCGGCCGGCAGGAGCUAACGAGGCUCCCGGCGCACAAAUCUUGCAGCCCGAGGCCUUUAUCCCAGCGCCACGGACCGAUCCUGGGCGAUCAUGGAAACUCGGAUCACCUGUCACUCCAUGGAUUUUUUUGGGCAGCACAGACCAGAAGAUAACCAGUCAGUAGUCAGUAGAAUGCAGAAGAAAUACUGGAAAACGAAACAGGUCUUCAUCAAAGCAACUGGAAAGAAGGAGGAUGAGCAUGUGGUGGCUUCUGAUGCUGAACUGGAUGCUAAACUUGAGGUUUUUCACUCCAUUCAAGAGACAUGUACUGAACUUCUGAAGAUAGUUGAGAAAUAUCAGCUAAGACUCAAUGUUAUAUCGGAGGAAGAAAACGAACUAGGGCUCUUUUUAAAGUUCCAAGCAGAACGGGAUACAACGCAGGCUGGCAAAAUGAUGGAUGCCACUGGCAAGGCACUCUGUUCUUCAGCCAAACAAAGAUUGGCUCUGUAUACUCCCCUGUCUCGCCUUCAGCAAGAAGUAGCAACAUUCAGUCAAAGGGCAGUAUCUGAUACCUUGACGACAAUUAAUCGGAUGGAGCAGGCACGCACAGAAUACAGAGGAGCCUUGCUCUGGAUGAAAGACGUAUCUCAAGAACUGGACCCAGACACCUUAAAACAAGUGGAAAAGUUCCGAAAAGUACAGAUUCAAGUGAGAAAUAGCAAAACUUCUUUUGACAAGUUAAAGAUGGAUGUUUGUCAGAAAGUGGAUUUACUUGGAGCUAGUCGCUGCAAUAUGUUGUCUCAUUCACUCGCUACCUAUCAGAGAACACUGCUUGGAUUCUGGGAGAAAACAGCUCGAAUGAUGUCCCAGAUUCAUGGGCCCUGUACAGGCCUUCAUCCAUACGACUUUGUAGCUCUCAAGCAACUACAAGACUCUCCAGUGACGCUUACUGAAGGCCACAGGGAGAGACGAAGAGAAGACGGUUCUCUCCCUGAAAACCUCAGUAGGUUAGUUUUGUCAGAUGAGGAAGUGAACUUGGGAAGUGAACCAGCAACUGAAGAUCACAAGGAAAAACAUUCUCGAAUAGAAGAAUUUGUAGCGCCUCAGUUUUCUGACUCUGAAAAUGUUGCAAAAGAUUUGCCAGUAGAUUCACUGGAAGAUGAUUUUGAGAAGGAAUUCUCGUUUCUGAACAGCCUCCUAAGUCCUGGUUGUUGGAGUGCUGGUGAAGCUUCCCAGGGAUGCCAGGCUGUCUUUGGAAGCCCCCAGGCCAGUCUCAUGUGCCAGGAGCCUUCUGGGGGGUCCGAGCCUCUUGCUCACUCCGCAGGAUUCCUCCCUUCGCAGCUCUUUGACCUUGGCCUUCAUGCCGCUGGAGCUUUCAACAGCUGGGCCUCCUAUGGGGGAUUAGAAUUUCCUCUUUCACACAUUGAUAAUCAGCCAGUGCCUUCACAGAGUCCAAAGAAAUUAACAAAAUCUCCCAACAGUGGUAACCAAGACAUGUCAGCCUGGUUCAAUCUGUUUGCAGACUUGGAUCCACUUUCAAACCCAGAUGCUAUCGGACACUCAGAUGAUGAACUUCUCAAUGCUUGACUGAAACUACGAUGCCACUUGAAUGGCCUUGAGACACCAGUUUUGCAACUUACUGCCUUAGUGGAAAGGAGUUUAUGUUGUCACUCACAUACGAAGACAUUGUGUUUGCAAAUUUAACACUUGACAGCCAACUUUAGACAGAUGGUAAGGACCAACCACAUUUCUAUAUAUUAAGUGUCUAUUUAAUAUCUGCAGCAGUUGGUAAUAUAUGAAAAACUUUAUAGAGACUAUUGAGUCUGAAAUUGAUACCAAAACUUAGGCUAACAGGUAGGGAUAAUUGUCAGUAGGGAUUGGGUUUAUUUAUUUGGAAAGCCUUUUAUGUAUGAGUUGCCUUGCUGGCUGAGAUUUCUAUAUGUAGAUAACGGACAGCAUGUAAACUGGGUUGUGAUUUGGGGUUGGUUUUUAAAUAAAACACUGGCAGGGGGAAUUUUCUGUUGUGGAACAUAGCACUAGAAACAAGACUAGCUUUGUCUUUAGAAAGGUAGAAUAAGAUUUGAGAACUCAGUUUUCUUUGAUGAAAUCACAGAGAAACUCGGUACUUGUUCUCUCCACUUGGAGGCUAAAAUGUAAUACCUCAGUUCUUUUCCUUCAUACAAAAUCAUGGACACCCUCCAGUUUCAUUAUGAAUUUUUUUUGGUAAAGUAGCAGGAUGAGUUAAUUGCUAAGUCCACCCUCUGUAGAAACAGAAAACUCUCUUCCCAUCUUAUAAACCACAGGACUGUCCAGCAGUAUUUCAGACAUUGUACUUCAUUGUGUCUUCAGGCCUAAGUCUUCACACACUGCUAUCACAAUGCACUGUAUUCACAUGCCGCCUGAAAGAAGAUAAGGGGAGGGUACUCCCUGGGCAACUGGCAGUUGUAUUCCUGCAAUGACCCAGAAACGUCUACUUGAAUGAGGGAAAAAUCUAAUUAACUCACCCUCGAACAGAUGUGCAAUACUUACCCAGUAUUUCUUAACAUGAUUUAAUCCAGAAUACUUCCUGGCAAAAUUACAGAAAGCUCUAUACUAUCAGUAAAGCAGUCUUUGAUUUUUUUCACUUUUCUGUGGGUGACAUCAGCUAAGGUUCUAUUUGAUUAUGAAGGACAAACUUACCCCUGAAAGGUUUGGAGUCUUAAGUAUCAGAAGGCAGGCUAUUUAAUGGAAGCUGAAGGAGAUGCUAAUGUAAGCACAGCCAUUGUAGACACAAGUCACUCUGUGUCCCAUUCUCUCUUCCUGCCCAGCCUUUAGUUCUGAGGCAGUUCACCCGGUGUCCUGUUCCAUCACUGUGCAGUCCACUGUAUCUGUAUAAGUGACCAUUUUCACUAACAUGUUCACAGUAGGCUUCACUAUACUCCUAGUUCCAAGCAAGCUUAAUUAUUAUUUACAGGAGAAUUGCUUGUAAUCUCUGAGUCACUGUAUAUAGAAAAAACAUUUUCUUAGGAAUGGACUAGGGCAGGUAAAUCACAGUCCACUUCCCAUCUAUAGCAGUCUGGCCUAACUACGAUCUGAACUGCCCACAGGCUCUUUGGAAAACCACAACUGUGGUCAAGUAGUGGAUAGGCUAGAAAGACCUUAACUGAGGGUCAGAAAUACAGACUUAAAAGAUUCUGUAAAACUUUCCUUAAAAUAUUUUCACGGGCUUAUUCCUAUUUCUUUAUUUGGUUUAACCCUUAAGAAGCAGUUUGCAAUUCUCCCUUUUUAUUCAGUGAAAUUCUCCAGAGUAUAGUACAUUGUUCCACCAAAAUUCCAUCACCAGGGUCAUGAUUAUGAAUCACAGUCUAAAGUCUAUAUCCAUGGUCACUCUGAGCUCUCAAUUUUGGGAGUACCUCAGAAAAUGUUAACUGUCUUGAGUUUUGCCGUUUUUCUCUUAUUAAUUUUCACUGAUGCAUUAGUUCAGAAACACUUGUAGCGCUCCGUCACACCCACACAGAGCAGUCCUCGUUACAGCAUAAACAGAGACUCUGCGUGCAGAGGAGAAGACUGCCCCCAGCCUGCCAAGGGCAAAGGUUAUUAGAAAAAAAAAGAAACAUAUGAGAAUUUUUGUUAUUCAGUUCUUAGUUUUCUCUUAACAUUUUUGCUUUCAACGAGUAUCCAGUUGCUCAUUUAACCCAAAAGCAACACUGCCUUAGAAAGUUCAGUUAUAACUUCAGCAAGUCUAAAGACUCCAUUUUUGAAGUGCACAUUUAAAACUUUUAUUUUUUCUCAAGGUUAGUUAUUUGAAGCUCAAUCAUUAAUUUAAAAGCCAGAAACAGAAAUUUGGCUAUAUUAUACCUAAAAUAGGUGUAAUAGGAAACCAAGCACAUAUUCAGUAGCGAGUGAAAGGAAGGACAGGAUAAACAUGGAACAGAAAGGUGAUCAGUUGCUAUUUGGUUAAAUCUAGAACCACCAUUCAAUAAAUAAAUAAAUUAACCUUAACCAAGGGUGAGCUGAGAACAACUUAUCAAAAUAAAUGAAUGCUUUUUAUAUUAAGUGGGGGGGAUAGCUAUCUUAUACUUUUUAAUACCAGACAAAAAUGCAUUUAAACUUAGAAAGCCCCCAGAACUAAAAUUUGCCUAAUCUUUCUUCAACCAACUUUAGGGCAGAUUAAGAUCAAAUUGGUGUGACUUUGUAUUUUUUGAAAUCUUUCAUUAAUUGUAAAACAUAACUCUGAUAUGAUUAGAAACAAACUGUUUUAACAAAACAGGUUUCAGUAUUUGCACAAUGAAAAAGUGUAUUUCAACCAUGGAUAUUUCACAUAACUAUCUUUAUAGACCAUCUGGAAAUGUAAAGGUCUUAAAUGUGUAUGAACAAAGGAAGUUUGAAUGUGCUAUUUUUCUGAGCCUCUUUUAUUAAUAAUAAAAUUAUAAGAUGGCAUAAAAAAGUUUAUUUUCUAAAGUGUUCAAUACAAAUCUAGUUAUUGUUUCCCUAUUCAAAAACUUUGGUUUUUACCUCAGGACCAUAGUAGUAAGAAGGUAGUUUGAAUGAUAUAAAUACCAGAGAAUGAAAAUAAAACCAGGGCAAUUAAUAUCCU
Odocoileus virginianus texanus is the source of this 4685-nucleotide non-coding RNA. Lineage: Eukaryota; Metazoa; Chordata; Mammalia; Artiodactyla; Cervidae. The record is from RefSeq and is a predicted model, not a curated record.